Molecule: long non-coding RNA, 332 nt
Filed under: Lupinus mutabilis
Lineage: Eukaryota; Viridiplantae; Streptophyta; Magnoliopsida; Fabales; Fabaceae
Description: partial ncRNA
Source: RNAcentral
GCAGCGGAAGGUGCUUCUGUAGUGGAAGAAGGAGCGGUUGAGAUCUUUCUCUUCUUAGAGAUUUCCUCUUCAGAACUGAAGCUAAUGCGCGAGAACACACCCGCUUUUUGCUUCCGAUCCGCUUCGGCCGCUGCGGCGCUGGAAGAGGUGGUUGUUUUGGUGACUGGUUCAGUAGAUUUUCUGGAUAAAGAAUCAGAGCGGUGAUGGCGGCGGUGAUGGUGACGUUCGUGUUCAUGGAUGUCACGAUCACUGUCUCGGUGAUCGUGGUCAAAGUUUCGAUCACGAGAACGUUUGCGUUCUCGAUCGGAAUUUCUCUUAGGAGGAGGUGGAGG